AGCCAUCUCCGAGAGAGAUGGAGAGGGAGAGAGAGGGGGGAGGGAGGGGAUGAUUAUGACAUGUGGACCUCACCAUUAAAAAAAAGAAAAUGAUGACUGGAUUGCCAUGUGUACGUCACGUAGGACAGAACCGUUUUGGAUUGUGUUGAGGGUGGUAAUUUGCCCAGUGUUGAAAGUUUAGGGUAAAGGAUGUCUGUUUUUCGGAUUUAGGGGUAAUUAGGAUAAUUUGUACUUUUUCCUUUUCAAAAUGCUGUGGGGUCUACCGUCUCUGGCACCGUAUGGAUAGAUCCUUCACGGCUGUUUAUAGUUUAAAAUUCAAAG
Molecule: long non-coding RNA, 321 nt
Filed under: Oryza brachyantha (malo sina)
Lineage: Eukaryota; Viridiplantae; Streptophyta; Magnoliopsida; Poales; Poaceae
Description: long non-coding RNA (OBRA_LNC000064)
Source: RNAcentral